AUGUAUGUACUGUGGGCUGUGGGCUCAGUUAGGGCCUGGGUUCCAAAAUUCAGCUUAAUGCAGGAGACUAGACCCUUUGGAGUUGGUUGUAGUUUUAUAGCAAAAGAAGUGAGAGUGAAUAAUGCAUUUUAGGUAGUGGGACAAAAAUAAGUUGCUUGAGGCAAAACCCGAAUGAUGAUACUGGCUUUAAAGAAUAUGAUCUUAAUAAGGAAAGCUUUAUGAUGGUUAUGAUGGUAUCCCAAAGCAGUGGCAGCACCAGCCCCGUCUACAACCCAGUGAUCGAAUCCUGCCACUGCUGCUGCAGUUGUUUCAACUAUAACAGCAGCUGUGGCUCAAGUCCCAGCCUCUGUCUUUGCUUUGCUUGCCACUUGUGCGGCUGUACCCAUCACUCCAGCAUCAAAGACAGUAUCUUCUGCACCUGCACCUAGUAGUGCAACUAAACAAGAGAAACUUGCAGAAAAGUCAGUGAGAACAUCAGUGAUUAGUAGCCCAAUAUCAACUGAGAACUCAUUAGAAGAUUUUUCUCUGGAAAACAUUUUGAAGAUGCAUCAAGAACAUUAAUGACAGAUUGACCUUAUAAAAAUAGGGUAAUGAGAUCAUGUAAACAUGUUAUGACCAGGAACAAAUAAUUACAGCUCUCAAAACUAGUUUCAACAACGCUGGCAGAGCAGUAAAGUAUCUUUUCUUUUCUUUACCAAAUAUCUUUUAAUGGGAAGUCCUGGAAAAAUAGAAAGCAAGGCUAUAGUUGAACCUCCUUAAGUGGCUAGUACUGGACUCCUCCAUCUUCACCAGAGGCAACAGCUGCAGCAACUACAGCAGCACCUUCUAGAGGAUCUGCCCUUGAAUUUUGAUGGAAUCAGCCUCAGUUUCAAUACAGGAUAUACAACACUUAACAGAAUCUGUCCCUGCUUCCAGUAUUGCUACCUCAGAUAGGUCAAGAGACUCCUCAAUGAUUGGUACAAAUUAGCCAACCUUGGGAACAUUUAUUGAAAUGCCAAAUGGACCAGUCCUAGAAGCUAGUGGAGGAGUGGUUGGAAGUGGCAGUGGAGGAGCCGAUGAGGCAAAAGUGUGCUUAACCACAUUCAAGCAUUGCCCCAGGAAACAGACACCAGAGAAAGGUCAACUGCAUCAGGAUUUCCUGAGGGACUCGUG
Molecule: long non-coding RNA, 1152 nt
Filed under: Homo sapiens (human)
Lineage: Eukaryota; Metazoa; Chordata; Mammalia; Primates; Hominidae
Description: non-protein coding lnc-NRIP1-8:1
Source: RNAcentral